UGGAAGGAAUGUCCCUCCUUUGGUGA
RNAcentral lists this non-coding RNA (26 nucleotides) under Mus musculus (house mouse). Lineage: Eukaryota; Metazoa; Chordata; Mammalia; Rodentia; Muridae. The record is from RNAcentral.